Molecule: ribosomal RNA, 128 nt
Filed under: Lysidice rhodostegia
Lineage: Eukaryota; Viridiplantae; Streptophyta; Magnoliopsida; Fabales; Fabaceae
Description: partial 18S ribosomal RNA
Rfam family: Eukaryotic small subunit ribosomal RNA
Source: RNAcentral
GAUCAYGGYGACACAAGCGGUCCACCGCCGGBGAUGUCAUGAGAAGUCCACUAAACCUAAUCAUUUAGAGGAAGGAGAAGUUGUAACAAAGUUUCCGUAGGUGAACCUACGGAAGGAUCAUUGUCGAC